AUCUCACCAUUUUUUGGGUUCAAAUUCAACUUUUUCUGAUCACAGUCAUGCCAUUCUAGAUUUUUGUGAUUUGGAAGCAUUGUGGUAAAUUUUAGACCACCCUUUCAUUUUGAGUCAGUCUAAAUAGUUCUGAACUAAAUAUAUUUCCUAGAAAUAAUGUAUUCUUAAAUUCUAUUUUUUAAAAUCUGUUCUGUACCUUUUUCAUUUUAUUGAAGGAUUGAGGCCAUCUACAUUUAGCAUAAUAAUUGUUCUUUCAUAAUGUGUUACUUUGGUGACUCAUUGUGAUUUGAAGAUCACUCUGGGUUCUUGACUUUGAAAGUGGAGCAUAAACUUUUGUGAUUUCUAACAUAUUGGGAGACACUUAAAUAUCAUCUCAGUAAUAGACUUAAUCUGCUAAGGAUCUCUCAGUUAAAUAUGGAGAGGCUUAUCUUCAGUAGGUUGGCCAUUUGAUAUUGAAUAUUUUGAACACAGAACACCAUGAAGCAAGGAAAAGAACAAUGACUUUUCAUCCUAGUGGAAGAUGAAUCAAAUGGUGCUGAAAUCAUAUUAUUUUUAGAUUGUCUAUAAACUUUCCUUUAGUUAUUGGUACUCUAGUAACCAAUUAGUAUACUUAAAUACAGAGGAACUGAUUUGUAUCAGUUUGACAUUUUUUCUAUAAAUAAACCAAGAAAAAAGAUGGAAACUAAAUGGAAGGAUGGCUUAUAGGUUCUCCUUUUGAAAUAAUUGUAGAAUUUGAUGAAUUGGUUUUAUUAUAUAAACAAGAUUAAUGAGCCAUAUCAUUUUAUCACAUGUUUGGUCAUUUCAUAUUGCUGUGCUCAUGAUAAUUUUGUAAGAAUACUGAAGUGAAUAUAUAUAGCUAAAUUUAGGUGAUACUUUAAAGUUUGCGAGACACUUUAUAGAUACCUCAUUUUGUCCUUUUAACAACCCUGGGAGGUAGAUGCUAUUAUUAUCCUCAUUUUGCAAUGGAGGUAUCCAGGAUUUUCAGGACCCUUGUGAUACAAAUACUUAUAAAAAUCAAAGCUGUUUUUUUCCCAGUGCUAUACCUGUCCAAAUAAAUUACUUAGUUCUUUCAGAAGAAGUUGGGGAACAGUGACUGUGUUUCUUGACUACUGAUCUAAUGAAGAGAGUGGUACGGUGCAAAAAAUGCUGGAUAUGGAGUUGAAGGACCUAAAUUCAGUCCCAUCUCUGCUACUUACCACAUGUUAGUCCCUUCAGCUCUCUAGGCCUCCUUGUCUACAAAGUGCAGAGUUUGGGCUAGAUGUUUGCUAGUUUUUGGGGAAGAGAGUGUGGUAUGCCUAGAGGGAAUGGAUUCCUAAUGGCAACCAGAGAAUGUUAGCGUCAUCUGAAAGAGGAUAAUGCAAAGGGACAGUUUAGCUGAUGGCAGUAAGCUAUAGCCAUGGACAUCAGAUGGAUAACAAUAAAUAGAUCAAGAGUUCUUAACUUGGGGUUUAUAAACUUUAUUUUUGAGACAUUUUGAUAUCUAUUCCAGUAGAUUAUUUUUUUUACACUGAUAUGUAUUUUAUUUUACACAUUUGAAAACAUUAUUCCAAGAAUGGCUUGCAUAGGUUUCAUCAGACUGCAAAAGGGAUCCCAGAAAAGAGUCUAAAAUCUAGAGCUGGAAUCAGAAAUCAUCUGGAAUCUAUGAAGCAAUUUGUCACAAAAGGGAAGCUUGUAUGAGUGGAACCUUCAAAUUAGGGCUGCACGUGUUGCCCUUGGGAAUAUUUAGAAUGAGAUGUUGAGGGAAUUAGAGGUGUUAUGUAUACUUUUACUGGUUGCAGUCCAUCAUAGUCUUUGAUUCUUAUUUCUUCUUUUUAAUAAAACUUUCUUAUAUAGUCUAUUCCAUUAUGGCCCAAAUGCUCACAGGUGUGGAAUUAGAGCCAAUAUCUAUGUGUUAAAAAAUUAAAUUAGUCUCUACUGAUAAAAAUAUUAUAUUUUAUGAGGUUUAUUAAAGAUUAUUAGAAAUCAAGGAUACAAAAUAAUCAACCACAUGCUUAGGGCUGAUUAGCCCAUUCACAUUUUACUUACUACAUGUUUUAAUCACUGAGUAGAGGAAGAGAGAGGCGGAAGUAGACGGUACAGCCAGUUUAAAUACAAGUUGUGAUCUCGUCCAGGUGGGGUCUCAGGUGAGAUUAUAGGGAAUUCUGGAAGUACCAAGGACUUCUGGGGAUUGAAGUCUGGGGUUCAAAUCUCCAUUUUACACAUGGAUUAUCCAAUUAAGAGGUUUUUACCAAGAUUUCUGAGGGUACUUGGGCCAGUAGCGUUGUAAUACCCUUGCCAAAUGAUCAUGGCCCUUUAUGCAAUGGCGCCACUGACAAAAAUGGAUUACAGAAGAAAAAGAUACAAUUAUCGGGAAGAUGGAGCAGAAACAUAUUCCAUUCCUUUCCUUGGAGUGGGAAAGUGUGAAGAAACUGAGGCAAAAAGAGGUCAUGUGACUUUCCCCAUCUCACACAGGGUCAGAACCAGAGCUUGGACUGGAAACCAGACCCCCUCACGGACUGUUCAGAGUUCUUUCUAUGCACUGAGCUGCCGCCUUGCAAAGAAAUAUCCGCAGUGUCUUUUUUAUAGAUUCAAAGCUGGAAGGAAUUUAGGAAGUCAUUGAGUUCUACCUCAUCAUUUUACAUAUAAGGAUACUGAGGCCAGAGAAGUUAAAUGAUUUGCCAAGGGUCACAUAGCUAUUAAGGACCCGGAAUGGGAUUAGGACUCAGGUCUUUUGGACUCGGGUUUUUUGGACCCCAGUUUCAGUGCUCCAUGUACUACUGUACCAUGCUACCAUGUUCCGGUAGGCCUGCUUUAAGGUGUUUUGCAUCUCUGGGAUAGACCAAUAGAUAAAUUACUGGGAUAUAGAAUAGCUUCUAUCAUGCCCACCCACUAGUGAAAAUAAAUAAUGCUUUUCACCAUCAAGAUGAACUUUAUGAGUCAAUAGGAGUAAUGUCCGAUAGUCAGAAAGUUUCUUUUCCAUUUUCUUUUUCCCCUUAGUUUCCCUACGAAGGAAUAUCUUGGCCACACUAGCUUGCUUCCCCAAAGCAUUCUCAUCUUAAUUUUCUCCCCACCUCUUGGUGAACAUGCUGCUUUUUGCCCUUCAGAUGGGCCAGGCACAUCACUUUUUCCUUUCUCCCUUUCAAACUCCUUGGUGAACAAAUGCUUUAAAAAUCAGUUGUUUUACUCCAAAGAAAUUUUAAAGAAAAGGAAUAAGUUCCAUAUGUACAAAAAUGUUUGUAGCAGAAAUUUUGUAGUAGCCCCAAACUGAAAGCUAAGAGGGUGCUCACUGAUUGGGGAAUGGCUAAACAAAUGAUGGUAAAUGAAUAUGAUGGGAUAUUCUUAUUCCAAUAAAAAUGAUGGAGUGAAUUGUUUCAGAGGAAACCAGGGAGACCUCUAUGAUCAAAUGAAUGUGAAUGAAAUGAGAACUAGUAUAAUUUGUAUGACAAAGAUAUUCUAGAAAAAAAACAACUUUGAAAGACUUUACAAGUCUGAUGAACCACCAGUCCAUGUGAUUGAAGCCGAAGCCCUCUAGCCACCUCCUGCUAGAGGGGUGAUGAACUUAACCCACAGAAUGAAGCCUGCAUUUUUGGAUAGUCCCGGUGGGAGAAUUUAUUGUGCUGGACUAUGCAUGCUUGUUAUAAGGGUUAAAAAAAAAUGUCCAUGGAUACCCUCUGCAUCUCUUAUGUAGUCUCAACUUCAGAAUUGCUAUGGUCGGUAGAAUCCAGUAAAUAUUAACAAAUGUGCUUUAUUUCAAUGAGGAAGGAGGUAUGGAUUUAAUAUUCUCUUUUCUUCUAUUAAAACAUUAUUUCCCAUAUAUUUUGACUAUAUUAAAGUGACUCUGUUGGCGUUCUGAAGGUGAUGUCAACAUUACUAUAAUAAACUUUGUCAGUUUUAGAUAAUUUGGCUAAAAACUGCUUUAAGUCUCUAUACUUGAGUCAUUUGGUGAGAAGGGGAAGACAUUCUUUCUGAAUUUGAGUAAAUGUUAAAGUAACUCACAAUGUGAUCGACAAGGAAAUUCAGUUACUGCUUUUGAUUGACCUGAAAUGAUCACGAUCUAAACAUUGAGACAACAUUCUUUAUUCAGUGAAGGCCACUUAAAAAGUGUAUAUCUUUAAAGCCAAGGACCAUAUUUCAUCUCUACAGUUAAAGAUAUUUCAAUAUAUCUGUCUUUGGGGAAAGCUCUUUAUGAAACAUUAUUUGUAUCUGAGAGGAGGCAUUAAAUAAAUUUAGUCAAGGCUAUAUAGUGGAAAGGAAGCAGCUAGGUGGUUCAGUGGAUAGAGCACUGGGUCUAAAUUCAAGAAGACCCAAAUUCAAAAUUGGCUUCCGACACUUAUUAGCUGUGUGAUCCCGGGCAAAAACCUUAACCUCUAUUUGCCUUAAUCAACUGGAGAAGAAACUGGCAAACUACUCCAUCAUCUUCGUCAAGAAAACUCCAGGGACUUACGAAAAAGACUGCUAUCCACCUCUAGAGAAAGAACUGUUGGAGUAUAAAUGCAGAUGAAAACACAUGAUUUUUCACUUGUUUAUUUGGGUGUAUGAUUUGGGGUUUUGGUUUUCAUAACAUUAUUCACUUACAAAAAUGAAUGAUAUGGAAAUGUGUUUGUGUAAUAGCACACAUAUAACCCAGAUUGAAUUGCUUGUCAGCUCUGGAAGGGAGAGGGAAGAAGGGAGGGCGACAACAGGAAUCAUAUAACAUUGGAAAACUUAUGUAGGAAUUUUUUAUUAAAAUAAAGACAAAAAAUAAGAAAAUCCCAGGGACAGCAUGAGAGUGCUACGAUCAUUUAUGGGGUCACAAAGAGUCGGGCACACCUGAACAACAGUAUAGUGGAUGAGCAUGAGAACUCAACCCUUUGGCUUGUUCUAUGACACCAAAGAAUAAAGAUCAUCAUUUCCUUUAAUACAGGUCUUCAUGGUGAUAAAUAAUCACCAUAAAAAAAGAGCGAAAUAACCUUCAUGGGCAUCAUUUCAUUUGAUCUCAAAUCAAUCUUGCAAGGUAGGUAUUAUAUAUUUAUAAAGAGACUAAAUAAGGAGAUAGAAAGGGAAAAUGAUUUAUCCAAAUAAAUUGGAAAGCUAAAAGCGCCUUGGGUGCAGGGACAAUCUUUUAUUUCUUGUAUAUACUACUCAUAUUCCCAGUACUUAGCACAGUGUCUGGCACAUAGUAGGUGCUUAAAAUAUGUUUAUUGACUGUCUGGUAUGAAUCAAUUUCUCUUUCCUUUAAGGGUACCUCUUUCUACUAUGAUAUUUGGCUGCAGGAGUUAAUGGUGGAGACACCAGAUUGACAGAAAAAUAUUCUUAGAAGACUGGCCUCAUCAACUUUCUUCUUUUUGAUGCCUUUUGUCCAUUUGGUUUCAGUUUUGGCAAUUGCCUUUUUAAUGAUUACAAGCAACAGGCUAUAUAAUUGCACAAUGGAUUCAGCUUGUAAAUUUUCUGUAUUAAUUUAAGAUUCUUGAAUAAUUGGUAAGUGAGCACACAGACUUUUGUUAGUUACUGUUCAUUUUUUUUAAGCUACCACUGUGUGACAUUGAUUUUUAUCUGUCCUUUUGCUUGAACUCUCUUUUUAAUUCACUUUUCCACUGAUAAUAUGGGUGGGAGAUCUGGGGUCUGUUGGUUUUGCACUUCAGAAUGCAGAAUUCCUGUAAUCUUAAAUCUCCGCCCAGGGUGCUGCUUCCCAGACAUCAGAGGGACCACUGGGACUAGAGUGAGACAGGAACAUUCGGAGAAAUUCUGAGCCAAACACAUAUUUUUUUUUUAUUCAAAUGCAUUUUUUUGGCAACAUUACUUGGGAGACCCUGAGCUUUGCACAGGUUUAGUCAGAAGGAGAGAUGUAUCAAAUCACUUGGAAAAAUAAAUGAGAUGAGUUUGUAGUAGAGAUUUAAAACCUGGGGCUCCAAGGUAACCUUUGGGAAGGCUCAUUCCACUAGACCAACGCUCCCAACAAAUGUGUCCAAAAGGAUGAGUACUCCUUUUUUGUGACUCCUCUUUUCUUCAGCUUCCAAACCUCAUGUGGCCUUCCUGGCUUCUGAAUGAACUGCAAUACUGUAAUCAAAUGGCAGUUCCAAUAGCAAACAUUUAUUGAAUUCAUACUGUGAGCCUGGAAAAGGAAUUAUAGUUAUACAGGGCUUGCUCUCAGGGAGCUUAAAAAAAUAUUGCCAUUAUUUGAUAUUCCUACCUAGGGACCUUAGUUACUGUGAUAUACCUACCUAGGGACCUUAGUUACUUUUGCUGUUUACCUGCACAAAAGAAUAGGAGAGAAAGACACACAGAGAGAGACAGAGACAGAUGUAGAGACAGAAGGAGACCAAGAGAUAGAGAUAGAGAAAUAGAUAUGAAGGCAGAGAAAGAAACAGAGACAAAGAUAGAGAAAGAGGUAGAGAUAGAGUCAAAAAGAAUCUAAAAGAAAGAGACAAAUACAGAUAAAGGAAGGGAAAGAGGUAGAGACAGAGGCAGAGACAAACAAAAAGAGCAAGAGAAAAAGACAGCAGUAGAGAUAAGAGGCAAAGAAAGAGAUAGAGAUAGAAGCAGAAACAGAGAUGAAUAGAGAUAAAGACAGAGAUAGAAACAGAACAAGAGAGACAGAGGCAGAGACAGGGAGAAAGAGACAGGGAAAUAGAUAUAGAGGGAAGAAGAGAAAUAGACAAAGAGAGACAGGGAGAUAGAGGCAGAGAUAGAGAGACAGAGAGAGGAAUAGUGAUAGAGACAAAGACAGAAAUAGAGAAAGACAUGGACAGAGAGAUAGAGGUAGAGACUGAGAGAAAGAGGGAAAUAGAGACAGAAGGAAGCAGAGAAACAGAGACAGAGAGAGAGAGAAGGAAGCAGAGAAAUAGAGACAAAGAGAGACAGAAGGAAGCAGAGAAACAGAGACAAAGAGAGACAGAUAGAGGCAGAGAUAGAGAGACAGAGAGAAAUAGUGAUAGAGACAGAGACAGAAACAGACAAAGACAUGGACAGAGAGAUAGAGGUAGAGACAGAGAGAAAGAGACAGGGAAAUAGAAGCAGAGAAAGAAACAAAGAAAGAGACAGAGAGAGACAGAGACAGAGAGAAAGAGACAGGGAAAUAGAAGCAGAGAAAGAGACAAAGAGACAGAGAAAGGUAGAGAGAGAGAAAGAGACAGGGAAAUUGAGAUAGAGGGAAGUAGAGAAAGAGACAAAGAGAGGCAGAGACAGAGGCAGAGAUAGAGAGACAGAGAGAAAUAGACACAGAAAGAUAGAGGCAGAGAAACAGAAAAAUAGAGACAGAGAAAAAUAUCUCAUUUAAAGUCUUAUGAGUUCAGUACAGAAUGCAGGUUGGGGUGUUUCAAAUGCCACUAUUUUGUGUAAAUAUGAACAAAUGACUCUCCAGACCUCAGUUUCUUUCUUAAAAAUACCUGCACUGACAUCCUUCAGACAGUUUUUAUAAAUAUAAAAACAGUAUAAAAAAGGGGAAAUGUUAUUCAUCUUGGUAAUGAUUAUUCUGAUUGUUGAGUCCUAUAGAGCCGAUGGGGCUUAUCUUGUCUCCAAAUAUCUUUUCCAGAUGGGUGCUUUGAAUGUGGUCUGUGAAGCUUGGAAUAUAGCAUUUUAAUGUCUGAAAUAUGACUAGAGUUGUUUUAGGAAUUUUUUGCCUCAAAGAAUCUCCUCCAAAACAUACUUAAUAUUUUUUUUUCACUUAUUUAGUUGUUGUUGUUGUUCUUUUUUUUUUUUUUUUAAUAAAAAAAGUA
Non-coding RNA from Monodelphis domestica (gray short-tailed opossum), 7673 nucleotides. The record is from RefSeq and is a predicted model, not a curated record. Lineage: Eukaryota; Metazoa; Chordata; Mammalia; Didelphimorphia; Didelphidae.